Molecule: ribosomal RNA, 912 nt
Filed under: Xerochrysium dermatitidis
Lineage: Eukaryota; Fungi; Ascomycota; Eurotiomycetes; Eurotiales; Trichocomaceae
Description: LSU rRNA
Rfam family: Eukaryotic large subunit ribosomal RNA
Source: RNAcentral
UAGCAUAUCAAUAAGCGGAGGAAAAGAAACCAACCGGGAUUGCCUCAGUAACGGCGAGUGAAGCGGCAACAGCUCAAAUUUGAAAGCUGGCUCCUUCGGGGUCCGCAUUGUAAUUUGGAGAGGAUGCUUCGGGUGCGGCCCCCGUCUAAGUGCUCUGGAACGGGCCGUCGGAGAGGGUGAGAAUCCCGUCUGGGGCGGGGAGCCCCGUGCCCGUGUGAAGCUCCUUCGAAGAGUCGAGUUGUUUGGGAAUGCAGCUCUAAAUGGGUGGUAAAUUUCAUCUAAAGCUAAAUACAGGCCGGAGACCGAUAGCGCACAAGUAGAGUGAUCGAAAGAUGAAAAGCACUUUGAAAAGAGAGUUAAACAGCACGUGAAAUUGUUGAAAGGGAAGCGCUUGCGAUCAGACUCGCCCGCGGGCUUCAGCCGGCACUCGUGCCGGUGUACUUGCUCGCGGGUGGGCCAGCGUCGGUUUGGGCGGCCGGUCAAAGGCCCCCGGAAUGUAGCGCCCCACGGGGCGUCUUAUAGCCGGGGGUGCCAUGCGGCCAGCCCGGACCGAGGAACGCGCUUCGGCACGGACGCUGGCGUAAUGGUCGCAAGCGACCCGUCUUGAAACACGGACCAAGGAGUCUAACAUCUACGCGAGUGUUUGGGUGGCAAACCCAUGCGCGCAGUGAAAGCGAACGGAGGUGGGAACCCCCCCGCGGGGUGCACCAUCGACCGAUCCUGAUGUCCUCGGAUGGAUUUGAGUACGAGCGUAGCUGUGGGGACCCGAAAGAUGGUGAACUAUGCCUGAAUAGGGCGAAGCCAGGGGAAACUCUGGUGGAGGCUCGCAGCGGUUCUGACGUGCAAAUCGAUCGUCAAAUUUGGGUAUAGGGGCGAAAGACUAAUCGAACCAUCUGGUAGCUGGUUCCUGCG